Molecule: ribosomal RNA, 498 nt
Filed under: uncultured bacterium
Lineage: Bacteria
Description: bacterial SSU rRNA
Rfam family: Bacterial small subunit ribosomal RNA
Source: RNAcentral
AGUCAAUAGAUACCCCGGUAGUCCACGCCGUAAACGAUGAAUACUAGGUGUAGGAGGUAUCGACUCCUUCUGUGCCGCAGUUAAACACAAUAAGUAUUCCGCCUGGGGAGUACGGUCGCAAGAUUAAAACUCAAAGGAAUUGACGGGGGCCCGGCACAAGCAGCGGAGCAUGUGGUUUAAUUCGAAGCAACGCGAAGAACCUUACCUAGACUUGACAUCUUCUGCAUUAAUCGUAAUGGAUGAAAUCCCUUCGGGGACAGAAUGACAGGUGGUGCAUGGUUGUCGUCAGCUCGUGUCGUGAGAUGUUGGGUUAAGUCCCGCAACGAGCGCAACCCCUAUUAUUAGUUGCUAACAUUAAGUUGAGCACUCUAGUGAGACUGCCCGGGUUAACCGGGAGGAAGGUGGGGAUGACGUCAAAUCAUCAUGCCCCUUAUGUCUAGGGCUACACACGUGCUACAAUGGUGGGAACAAAGAGAUGCAAUACCGCGAGGUGGAGCU